This 232-nucleotide long non-coding RNA is filed under the name Capsicum annuum. Its description in RNAcentral is "long non-coding RNA (CANN_LNC008013)". The record is from RNAcentral. Lineage: Eukaryota; Viridiplantae; Streptophyta; Magnoliopsida; Solanales; Solanaceae.
AAAGAUGGGUAACAAAAUAUAUAUUGAUCACUUCCUACUUCCACACAAGUAACAUAAAUUCUUUAUACAAUCCUUUGGGCCUCAUGUGCUCCACUUUCAGUUGCUGGCACACCAUGCACUUAGCCACUAAAAUAGCCAUAUCCCACUUCAUAUUGUUCUACUAAUACAUCUCCUUAAGGUCAUAAUACAUUUUAAUCAAACCAGGAUGAAAAGUAAAGUGUGACUCAUACUC